UACAGAGGUCUCAAGCGUUGUUCGGAUUCAUUGGGCGUAAAGGGUGCGUAGGUGGUGCUGUAAGUCAGGUGUGAAAUCCCGGGGCUCAACCCCGGAACUGCACUUGAUACUGCAGUGCUCGAGGACUGGAGAGGAGAUCGGAAUUCAUGGUGUAGCAGUGAAAUGCGUAGAUAUCAUGAGGAAGACCAGUGGCGAAGGCGGAUCUCUGGACAGUUCCUGACACUGAGGUACGAAGGCCAGGGGAGCAAACGGG
Molecule: ribosomal RNA, 253 nt
Filed under: uncultured bacterium
Lineage: Bacteria
Description: partial 16S ribosomal RNA
Rfam family: Bacterial small subunit ribosomal RNA
Source: RNAcentral